GGGAUUGCCUCAGUAACGGCGAGUGAAGCGGCAAUAGCUCAAAUUUGAAAUCUGGCCCCCUUGUGGUGUCCGAGUUGUAAUUUGUAGAGGAUGCUUCGGUGUUGGCCCCGGCCUAAGUUCCUUGGAACAGGACGUCACAGAGGGUGAGAAUCCCGUACGUGGCCGGUGUCCCUCGCCAUGUGAAGCUCCUUCGACGAGUCGAGUUGUUUGGGAAUGCAGCUCUAAAUGGGAGGUAAAUUUCUUCUAAAGCUAAAUACCGGCCAGAGACCGAUAGCGCACAAGUAGAGUGAUCGAAAGAUGAAAAGCACUUUGGAAAGAGAGUCAAAAAGUACGUGAAAUUGUUGAAAGGGAAGCGCUUGCAACCAGACCUGCCCGCGGUCGCUCAUCCAGGCUCUUGCCUGGUGCACUCUUCCGCGGUCAGGCCAGCAUCGGUUUGGGCGGUCGGACAAAGGCGACGGGAAUGUGGCUCCCUUCGGGGAGUGUUAUAGCCCGCCGUGCAAUGCGGCCAGUCCGGACCGAGGUCCGCGCUUUGGCUAGGAUGCUGGCGUAAUGGUUGUAAGCGGCCCGUCUUGAAACACGGACCAAGGAGUCUAACAUCUAUGCGAGUGUUUGGGUGUCAAGCCCGGGCGCGCAAUGAAAGUGAACGGAGGCGGGAACCUUCGGGUGCACCGUCGACCGAUCCUGAUGUCUUCGGAUGGAUUUGAGUAAGAGCAUAGCUGUUGGGACCCGAAAGAUGGUGAACUAUGCCUGAAUAGGGUGAAGCCAGAGGAAACUCUGGUGGAGGCUCGCAGCGGUUCUGACGUGCAAAUCGAUCGUCAAAUUUGGGCAUAGGGGCGAAAGACUAAUCG
RNAcentral lists this ribosomal RNA (848 nucleotides) under Hysterium angustatum. RNAcentral's name for it is "partial large subunit ribosomal RNA". It matches the Rfam family "Eukaryotic large subunit ribosomal RNA", at positions 71 to 937 of the family's 3401-position model. The record is from RNAcentral. Lineage: Eukaryota; Fungi; Ascomycota; Dothideomycetes; Hysteriales; Hysteriaceae.